UGGGGAAUCUUGCGCAAUGGGCGAAAGCCUGACGCAGCCAUGCCGCGUGUAUGAUGAAGGUCUUAGGAUUGUAAAAUACUUUCACCGGUGAAGCUGUAGCCGGAGAAGAAGCCCCGGCUAACUUCGUGCCAGCAGCCGCGGUAAUACGAAGGGGGCUAGCGUUGCUCGGAAUUACUGGGCGUAAAGGGCGCGUAGGCGGACAUUUAAGUCAGGGGUGAAAUCCCAGAGCUCAACUCUGGAACUGCCUUUGAUACUGGGUGUCUUGAGUGUGAGAGAGGUAUGUGGAACUCCGAGUGUAGAGGUGAAAUUCGUAGAUAUUCGGAAGAACACCAGUGGCGAAGGCGACAUACUGGCUCAUUACUGACGCUGAGGCGCGAAAGCGUGGGGAGCAAACAGGAUUAGAUACCCGAGUAGU
RNAcentral lists this ribosomal RNA (415 nucleotides) under uncultured bacterium. Its description in RNAcentral is "bacterial SSU rRNA". It matches the Rfam family "Bacterial small subunit ribosomal RNA", at positions 355 to 794 of the family's 1533-position model. The record is from RNAcentral.